This 253-nucleotide ribosomal RNA is filed under the name uncultured bacterium. RNAcentral's name for it is "partial 16S ribosomal RNA". It matches the Rfam family "Bacterial small subunit ribosomal RNA", at positions 524 to 776 of the family's 1533-position model. The record is from RNAcentral.
UACGUAGGGGGCAAGCGUUGUCCGGAUUUAUUGGGCGUAAAGCGCUCGCAGGUGGUUCGUCGCGUCGUGCGUGAAAGACCCCGGCUCAACUGGGGGAUGUCGUGCGAUACGGGCGGACUGGAGGCCAGUAGGGGGAUGCGGAAUUCCGGGUGUAGUGGUGGAAUGCGUAGAGAUCCGGAGGAACACCAGCGGCGAAGGCGGCAUCCUGGACUGGUCCUGACACUCAGGAGCGCAAGCGUGGGGAGCGAUCCGG